RNAcentral lists this ribosomal RNA (578 nucleotides) under uncultured marine eukaryote. Its description in RNAcentral is "SSU rRNA". It matches the Rfam family "Eukaryotic small subunit ribosomal RNA", at positions 614 to 1204 of the family's 1831-position model. The record is from RNAcentral.
UGCAGUUAAAAAGCUCGUAGUCGGAUUUCAGUAUUAGGCCCUUCUUCCAAUACGGUUGCUAGUGGUCUUUACUUCCUUAACAGAAUCUUUCAUCUCAUUAAUUUGGGGUGUUUGGGGCCUGUUUCUUUUACUUUGAGAAAAUUAGAGUGUUCAAAGCGGGUUUUCGCCUGGAUAUUACUCUUGGAAUAAUAAUAUAGGACUUUGGUUCUUUUUUGUUGGUGACUUAGAACCGAAGUAAUGAUUGAUAGGGACAGUUGGGGUCAUUCGUACUAUGAAGCGAGAGGUGAAAUUCAUGGACCUUUGUAUGACGAACUACUGCGAAAGCAUUUGACUAGGAUGUUCCCGUUGAUCAAGAACGAAAGUUGGGGGAUCGAAGACGAUCAGAUACCGUCGUAGUCUCAACCAUAAACUAUGCCAGCUAGGGAUUGGAGGAAGAUCAUUUUACGUCUCCUUCAGCACCUUAUGAGAAAUCAAAGCAUUUGGGUUCCGGGGGGAGCAUGGUCGCAAGGCUGAAACUUAGAGGAAUUGACGGGAGGGCACUACCAGGAGUGGGAGCCUGCGGCUUAAUUUGAUUCAAC